UACAGAGGGUGCGAGCGUUAAUCGGAAUUACUGGGCGUAAAGCGCGCGUAGGCGGCUUUGCAAGUCGGGUGUGAAAUCCCCAGGCUUAACCUGGGAACUGCAUUCGAGACUGCAUUGCUAGAGUAUGGGAGAGGGAAGUGGAAUUUCCGGUGUAGCGGUGAAAUGCGUAGAUAUCAGGAGGAACACCGAUGGCGAAGGCAGGUCUCUGGGCCACUACUGACGCUGAGAAGCGAAAGCAUGGGGAGCGAACAGG
This 253-nucleotide ribosomal RNA is filed under the name uncultured bacterium. RNAcentral's name for it is "partial 16S ribosomal RNA". It matches the Rfam family "Bacterial small subunit ribosomal RNA", at positions 524 to 776 of the family's 1533-position model. The record is from RNAcentral.